Molecule: transfer RNA, 78 nt
Filed under: Nanobdellota archaeon
Lineage: Archaea; Nanobdellati; Nanobdellota
Description: Nanoarchaeota archaeon tRNA-Asp
Source: RNAcentral
GCCCUGGUAGUGUAGUGGCCUAUCAUGGUACCCUGUCACGGUACCGACCCGGGUUCAAAAAGGCCGCCAGCAAUGGCG